Molecule: long non-coding RNA, 1991 nt
Filed under: Homo sapiens (human)
Lineage: Eukaryota; Metazoa; Chordata; Mammalia; Primates; Hominidae
Description: HSALNT0312433
Source: RNAcentral
ACACGUAAAAGGAGCUCAUUCGGAGGCAGGGGCACGCGCUUGUCCCCAGAACUCAAACCCCAGAGUCCCUCCGGCAGAUGAGAGUGGAGGUUGUAAAUCACCCUCCAUGCAAUGGUUCAUCAUAAAGGAUAUGGAGCAAAAUUAGAGGAGGCACGAGAAGGAAAGCCGGUGAUGAACAAGGAAAGUGCCUGGUUGAAGCUAGCUUGCAAUCCCAAAGUCAGAAGGUUGCCUGGGAAGCCAUGAAACAAAGCCAAAUCAAGGCAAAGCAGACACAUGGAGAUUUUGAGACUGAGAAGAGGAAAACUGAGGACAUUCAUGUGAGAUGGUUUCAAGUUUCCCUUAGAAGGAGAAGUUAUCUUCAGAAGGUCAGGUUGGUGAGGUGGGAGUUCAAAAACAACAAAGUAUGUAGCUACCAUUGUGAGGAAGACCAUGGAAAAUGGACGAAUCAGAAUGAAAGGCUUUCUGAACAAGACCCAGAGACAGAAGCAGAUAAUGCAAGUGUCAUCUACAUCUGGCAAAAGCCAAAGGUUUGGAAGAUGGAAAAAGGAAUCCAGGCAAAAAGGAGCCCAAGAUUGAAGUGAAUGACCAGGUGCACCAGUUCAAAUGCAAUCAGGAGGGACAGGGGUAGAGGGAGAAGCCUAGAGCAGCGCUUCUCAAACUGACUAUUCAAGUCACCUGGAGAUCUUGGUGAAAUGCAGACUCUGGUGCAGUAGGUCCUGGCGGGAACUUGAAAUUCUGCAUUUUGACCAAGGUCCAAGGUGAAUGUCCAGUGCUGUUGUCCUUGGCCUGCAGCAGGAGGAGCAGGGAUCUAAGACUUGGAGAGCAAAUGUCAAGCUCAGAAGAAAGACUGGAAGUUUGGGGACAAAACCCAAAUAUGGCUAAAGAAAGCCUGUAGGAUGAAGUUGGAAGUUCCAGAGCCUUCUCUUCACAUAAUGGGACAUGCAAGGGGGAAACCAAAUCAAAAGUGUAGAAUGCGUCGCUGGAUGUCUUUGACAUGUUAUUGUUCUGAUAGAAUAUCAGCGGGGAGCUACUGAGGACCUCCUCACUACCCUCCCUUGGAAGAGUUUGUCUGCAAUGGAGCCAACACAGUGGAAAGCAGAGCUGAGAAAUGGACAAACAACUCCUGAUGCCUCAUUUGAGCACCUGGAUUUAGCCAUGUCUGAAGCUAUUAAUCUUCCCCACCAAGUUAGAACCUGUGUCAUGUUCCUCUGAACUGUGUUUGUCCCCUUCGGGGGACCCCACAUGCUACGGACACCUGAUGAUUCGACCUGUUCACCAUCCCUUCAGCCCUGAACUGGCAACAGUAUCCUCAUUAUUCAUGAGAAAACGAUUCCUCCUCCCUUCCCAGACCAUGAGGAUUGAGUGGAAUUCACUCCAUCCUUCUCAGCUCCCUGACUGAACCAGCCCCUGUGGGAAGAGAAAGCCCCCAGGCUGAGAAUCAACUGAGCUGCAUUGAGGAGCCCCAGGUGUGUGUCCAGGAAUGCCAAGUGCAGAAGGGCUAUGCACGGGGCACCAUCAUGACCUGCUGCAGAGACCGUCCCUGAGAACAGAGGAGCAGAGAGAGAGAAGAGCAAGAGAUGGGCAAGGACAGAGUCACAAUCCCAGUGUCUGGCCCCUGCCUCCGGCCUUGUCUCAGCUAGCUCUGUCACUGGACUUUCAUUUGUCUGGGACCAAUAUCUCUCUUCCUUCCUAAAGAUGACUGCAGACUGGUUUCUGCCCUGUGUAAUGAAAAGAUCAUGAUGUGCACAGCUUUUUACCCCAUCUUAAGAAUAUUUGAGCACUUAUCUCCAUAGAGGGCAGAAUCUGUAAUGAAUUUACUUUUCAGUCCUCCAUAACACCUGUCGCAAGGUUUGUACAGUUUUCAAGAAAUACUGGGUAGAUGAAUGAAUGGAUACUGAAAAGACCCACUAAAAUUUAAUGCAAAUCUGUAACAACAGAUGCCCAUUUAAGGCACAUGGCAGAGGGCAAGGUGGCAUAGGGAGAAAGCAGUU